GGAUGUGAGGGCGAUCUGGCUGUGACAUCUGUCACCCCAUUGAUCUCCAGGGUUGAUUCGGCUGAUCUGGCUGGCUAGGCGGGUGUCCCCUUCCUCCCUCACUGCUCCAUGUGCGUCUCUCCUGAAGCUGCGAGCUCGGUUGAGGAAGACGACCUUCCCCAAUAGAGGAGGACCAUUCUUUCCCCAAUAGAGGAGGACCAUUCUUUGGUCAAGGGUAUAUGAGUAGCUGCGCUCCCCUGCUAGAACCUCCAAACAAGCUCUCAAGGUAUGUAUAGGUUUUCAUUCUUAGGUAUCUUGAUGAACAAAGAGUGAUGGAAGUAGUUAGAAAUUUGAAAAUGUUUUGCAGUAGUUUCAUUA
RNAcentral lists this small nuclear RNA (357 nucleotides) under Propithecus coquereli (Coquerel's sifaka). RNAcentral describes it as "7SK RNA (ENSPCOG00000011389.1)". It matches the Rfam family "7SK RNA". Rfam says of the family: 7SK was discovered as an abundant small nuclear RNA in the mid-70s but a possible function has only recently been suggested. Two independent studies have found that 7SK RNA binds the CDK9/cyclin T complex (known as elongation factor P-TEFb). The record is from Rfam by way of RNAcentral. Lineage: Eukaryota; Metazoa; Chordata; Mammalia; Primates; Indriidae.